RNAcentral lists this ribosomal RNA (301 nucleotides) under uncultured bacterium. RNAcentral describes it as "partial 16S ribosomal RNA". It matches the Rfam family "Bacterial small subunit ribosomal RNA", at positions 509 to 807 of the family's 1533-position model. The record is from RNAcentral.
CAGUAGCCGCGGUAAUACGUAGGGCGCAAGCGUUGUCCGGAAUUAUUGGGCGUAAAGAGCUCGUAGGCGGUCUGUCGCGUCUGGUGUGAAAUCCCGAGGCUCAACCUCGGGCUUGCAUCGGGUACGGGCAGACUAGAGUGCGGUAGGGGAGACUGGAAUUCCUGGUGUAGCGGUGGAAUGCGCAGAUAUCAGGAGGAACACCGAUGGCGAAGGCAGGUCUCUGGGCCGCAACUGACGCUGAGGAGCGAAAGCAUGGGGAGCGAACAGGAUUAGAUACCCCCGUAGUCCCUGUCUCUUAUAC